This 253-nucleotide ribosomal RNA is filed under the name uncultured prokaryote. RNAcentral's name for it is "partial 16S ribosomal RNA". It matches the Rfam family "Bacterial small subunit ribosomal RNA", at positions 524 to 776 of the family's 1533-position model. The record is from RNAcentral.
UACGAAGGGUGCAAGCGUUACUCGGAAUUACUGGGCGUAAAGCGUGCGUAGGUGGUUCGUUAAGUCCGAUGUGAAAGCCCUGGGCUCAACCUGGGAAUGGCAUUGGAUACUGACGGGCUAGAGUGCGGUAGAGGGCAGUGGAAUUCCCGGUGUAGCAGUGAAAUGCGUAGAGAUCGGGAGGAACAUCUGUGGCGAAGGCGACUGCCUGGACCAGCACUGACACUGAGGCACGAAAGCGUGGGGAGCAAACAGG